GAUGAACGCUGGCGGCGUGCCUAAUACAUGCAAGUCGAGCGAACGGACGAGAAGCUUGCUUCUCUGAUGUUAGCGGCGGACGGGUGAGUAACACGUGGAUAACCUACCUAUAAGACUGGGAUAACUUCGGGAAACCGGAGCUAAUACCGAAUAAUAUUUUGAACCGCAUGGUUCAAAAGUGAAAGACGGUCUUGCUGUCACUUAUAGAUGGAUCCGCGCUGCAUUAGCUAGUUGGUACGGUAACGGCUUACCAAGGCAACGAUGCAUAGCCGACCUGAGAGGGUGAUCGGCCACACGGGAACUGAGACACGGUCCAGACUCCUACGGGAGGCAGCAGUAGGGAAUCUUCCGCAAUGGGCGAAAGCCUGACGGAGCAACGCCGCGUGAGUGAUGAAGGUCUUCGGAUCGUAAAACUCUGUUAUUAGGGAAGAACAUAUGUGUAAGUAACUGUGCACAUCUUGACGGUACCUAAUCAGAAAGCCACGGCUAACUACGUG
Molecule: ribosomal RNA, 497 nt
Filed under: uncultured bacterium
Lineage: Bacteria
Description: partial 16S ribosomal RNA
Rfam family: Bacterial small subunit ribosomal RNA
Source: RNAcentral